RNAcentral lists this ribosomal RNA (497 nucleotides) under uncultured bacterium. RNAcentral describes it as "partial 16S ribosomal RNA". It matches the Rfam family "Bacterial small subunit ribosomal RNA", at positions 28 to 507 of the family's 1533-position model. The record is from RNAcentral.
GACGAACGCUGGCGGCGUGCCUAAUACAUGCAAGUUGAGCGCUGAAGGUUGGUACUUGUACCGACUGGAUGAGCAGCGAACGGGUGAGUAACGCGUGGGGAAUCUGCCUUUGAGCGGGGGACAACAUUUGGAAACGAAUGCUAAUACCGCAUAAAAACUUUAAACACAAGUUUUAAGUUUGAAAGAUGCAAUUGCAUCACUCAAAGAUGAUCCCGCGUUGUAUUAGCUAGUUGGUGAGGUAAAGGCUCACCAAGGCGAUGAUACAUAGCCGACCUGAGAGGGUGAUCGGCCACAAUGGGAAUGAGACACGGCCCAAACUCCUACGGGAGGCAGCAGUAGGGGAUCUUCGGCAAUGGACGAAAGUCUGGCCGAGCAACGCCGGGUGAGGGAAGAAGGUUCUCGGAUCGGAAAACUCUGUUGGUAGAGAAGAACGUUGGUGGGAGUGGAAAGCUCAUCAAGUGACGGUAACUACCCAGAAAGGGACGGCUAACUACGUG